GUUGGGAGGAAAGCAAAAAAAACAAAUCAAAUUCUGAUCAUUUCUCAUCUAAAACAUGGGGGCAUUUUUGACCAAAAAAAUAAUUAAAUGUCAUUAAAAUGUGAAAUAAAUAAUGCAGUAAUAUGAUUAUUUGGUUGGUUUUCCUUUGCUGAAUUUAUUUGUAUUUAAACAUUUCAGGAUGCGCUGCAAUAAGGUAAUCAUGAAAUAAUUAACUCUUUAUUUAGUUAAGUGAUUUACCAUUUCCAACCACUUACACAUUCAUGCAUGUAAUAAAUGUAUUUAAUUUCUUGAUCACAAAAACCAUCCAGGCUACAGUGCAACACUUUGCAAAUCAAAUCAGCAAACUGUCAUUGAAGGAAAAGAACCAUUAAAAAGUAAUAAUAAUAAUAAAAAAAAAUCACCAUUUGUAGUUGAGGUCAACUCCAGCCCUCUUACACAGUUUGGUGAAAAAUCAGUUUAUUUUUGUUUAUUCCAGCCAAAAAUCUAACAAAAACACACACAUAGGCAACAACAUAACCUCUGUGGAGGAGGUUAAACAACAACAGUGACUGGCUCCAAUCUCAUUUGUCACACGAAAAGUGGUGUAAAAUAAUGUGUUCAACGUGAGGCGUUCACCAGUACAGUAUGUCACCAGCAGUAUACAGCGUUCCCUCUGUGGACGGGGAGUUUUUAAAUCAGUCUACAGGACAUUCACAACAGGACAUAAAUAAUUAGCCAUCAGUUUAAUUUUUUUUAUGAUAUUGAUAAAAUCUCUUCUUCACACAAUGCUGUGGAGCAUUUAUGGGAAAAAAAAAUGCAUUAAAAAGUUCAUAAAACCUAUCGGCUCAUUACUGCCAUCUUACCGUCAAGUUAGUCUGAGCACUGCUCAUCUAAAAACAGUUCAUAAAUUCUAAAUAUCACUGAAAAUAAAACAUCAC
Long non-coding RNA from Thalassophryne amazonica, 917 nucleotides. RefSeq lists it as uncharacterized. NCBI's taxonomy places the organism in Eukaryota, Metazoa, Chordata, Actinopteri, Batrachoidiformes, Batrachoididae. The record is from RefSeq and is a predicted model, not a curated record. The transcript has 3 exons.